UUUUUUUUGAGACGGAGUCUUGCUCUAUCGCCCAGACUGGAGUGCAGUGGUGCGAUCUCCGCUCACUGCAAACUUCGCCUCCCGGGUUCACGCCAUUCUCCUGCCUCAGGCUCCUGAGUAGCUGGGACUACAGGCACCCGCCACCGCGCCCGGCUAAUUUUUUGUAUUUUUAGUAGAGACGGGGUUUCAUCGUGUUAGCCAGGAUGGUCUCGAUCUCCUGACCUCGUGAUCCGCCCGCCUCAGCUUCCCAAAGUGCUGGGAUUACAGGCAUGAGCCACCGCGCCCGGCCCCCGACACCUAGUUUUAAAGGGCCCCUGCUGUUGCUGCCGCUGCCGCCGCUCCCAGCUGCCCAGUCUGGCGGGCUCAGUCCCGCGUUGCCAUGUGUGGGAGACCGCGUCGCGUAAGCGCUGGAUGUGGCUUCGCUGAUGCACAUUGGACCGGGCUCUGGACUGGGCUAGGGGAAGGGCAGGAGGGCGGAAUUGGGCCCGAGGGCCAGGCCUCGCCGACCCCCGACUGCGCCUCCCGGUGGCCCCGCAGCGCCUCCCGGUGGCCCUGGAGUGCAGGUCUUACCGUCCGAGAUCGUCCGCAACUGGGCGAGCUGUGCAUGGGGCGUGGCUAAGGCCGUGGUUUGGUUACGAUUGGCCAGCGGGACUUAAGUGUUGUCUCUGAAGAGCAUGGACAUUAGUCUGGAGGGUCCUGGAAGAGUGAUCCCCGCCCCACCAUCAAAUGGCGCUUAGGUCUAGGAAGCGGGUGUGGGUGGGGCCUUAGGGCGAGGCGCAGACAUACCCCGAAGUGGUUGGAUUGUAUACCGCAAGGGGCUGGAUCGAACCCCCCAAAGACACUGGAAGGCUGUGUGGCUGAGGAGGGCCCGGCAGAUCCAGUGUGUCGUGGGCUUUACAGGAAAGAGCUCCACCUUCUCUGGAGUGUGCAGAUGCGAUCUAGGUGUGUCCACCCGAUGGGAGCUGCGGGCCGGGCAGAUGCUGCCCCAGUACAAAGCUGAUUUGGACCUGGGGCCUCUGGACUUCCCUGAUUCUCUGCUUGCAUCUCCAGCAAAGUCCUGUCCCGUUGGCUGCCUUCAUCCACUCUCUCACUUCUCUGCCUUCAGAGUAAAAUUGCAAGAUCUGUGGUGCUUACUGGGAUCUGAUAGAGUCUCUCGGCAUCCACUGUCUAUGCAGCGGGUGUCCACCUGCAGCGGGGGCCAUGUGCAGCGGGGGGCCACGUGCAGUGUGUGCCUCUUCUUAGCCAUGCUGGACAGCGCCGCCCCUGAAAAGCAGCUCCCCGGUUUCACCCAGAAAGCCAUCCAGAACCUCCUGGAAAAGGUGGCCUGAUGGCCAAGUGGCCUCGGAUGCCAGGCUCAAUCCUUUGAACUUUUCCUGUGGGCUGUCAGGACCCAUAGAAGGUCUUUGAGCAGCUCAUAGGUCUCUGAAUCAAGAGAAGCCACAUCUGGACCUGAUAUAGAAGAGACUAUUAGAGAUCCUGGGCUUGAGGCUGAUUCCAUGUCAGAUGGGUCACUUAGGUGGUCUCCCUUGGGAAGGGGAUGCAUUUAUUUUGCAUAUGGAAGAAAAUGCAAAGGCAGUAUUUGUAAGGAAGAGGGCAGACGGGGGAAGAUUUUAUAAUUGUUCAAAAACAUUCACUGGGAUGUGUGUGGUGGCUCACGCCUAUAAUCCCAGUGCUUUGGGAGGGUGAAGCAGGAGGAUCACUUGAGGCCAGGAGUUUGAGACCAGCAUGGGCAACAUAGUGAGACCCUAUCUCUACAAAAAAU
RNAcentral lists this long non-coding RNA (1762 nucleotides) under Homo sapiens (human). RNAcentral describes it as "non-protein coding lnc-STX4-1:3". Lineage: Eukaryota; Metazoa; Chordata; Mammalia; Primates; Hominidae. The record is from RNAcentral.